GGAUCCCCAUCAGAACUCCGCAGUUAAGCGUGCUUGGGCGAGAGUAGUACUAGGAUGGGUGACCUCCUGGGAAGUCCUCGUGUUGCACCCC
RNAcentral lists this ribosomal RNA (91 nucleotides) under Arabis alpina (gray rockcress). Lineage: Eukaryota; Viridiplantae; Streptophyta; Magnoliopsida; Brassicales; Brassicaceae. The record is from RNAcentral.